RNAcentral lists this ribosomal RNA (995 nucleotides) under Rohdendorfia bella. RNAcentral's name for it is "partial 28S ribosomal RNA". It matches the Rfam family "Eukaryotic large subunit ribosomal RNA", at positions 116 to 927 of the family's 3401-position model. The record is from RNAcentral. Lineage: Eukaryota; Metazoa; Arthropoda; Insecta; Diptera; Syrphidae.
UAGCCAUUUUGUCUUUAUGGCAAAUAUGGGAUGCAGUGUAUGGAACAUCUAUAAUCUAGUAUGAGAAAUUAACGAUUUAAGUCCUUCUUAAAUGAGGCCAUUUACCCAAAGAGGGUGCCAGGCCCGUAUAACGUUAAUGAUUACUAGAAGGUGUUUCCAAAGAGUCGUGUUGCUUGAUAGUGCAGCACUAAGUGGGUGGUAAACUCCAUCUAAAACUAAAUAUAACCAUGAGACCGAUAGUAAACAAGUACCGUGAGGGAAAGUUGAAAAGAACUCUGAAUAGAGAGUUAAAUAGUACGUGAAACUGCUUAGAGGUUAAGCCCGAUGAACCUGAAUAUCCAUUAUGGAAAAUUCAUCAUUAAUAAUAUGGUAUUAAUAAUAUCAUAUAAAUAGUGUGCAAUUUUUCCAUAUAAGGACAUUGUAAUCUGUUAAUGUCAUAAAUAUUUAUUAAAAGAUCCUUUGCUCCAGUUUAUUUAAAUUAGUUAUUUUCGGAUUUCUAACAUAGAAUAAAGGCAUUGGAUUUGAUAAAUCAUUGACAGAUAUAAUUAUAUAAUGUGCUUAAAUUCUACGGAAUUUUACAAUGAUGAGUAAUUCUUUUGAAUUAUUUGUUUAUAUUGUAUGCACUAUUAUGAUUAACAAUGCGAUAGAUUCAGGAUACCUUCGGGACCCGUCUUGAAACACGGACCAAGGAGUCUAACAUAUGUGCAAGUCAUUGGGUGUAAAACCUAAUGGCAUAAUUAACUUAACUGUUUAUAUGGGAUUAGUUUAUAUUUUAUAAUGGAAUAUGAAUUCAAUCCCGGGGCGUUCUAUACAGUUAUGUAUAAUAAUAUUUAUAUUAUUUAUGCCUCUAACUAGAGCGUACCUUGAGCACAUAUGCUGUGACCCGAAAGAUGGUGAACUAUACUUGAUCAGGUUGAAGUCAGGGGAAACCCUGAUGGAAGACCGAAACAGUUCUGACGUGCAAAUCGAUUGUCAGAAUUGAGUAUAGGGGCGAA